This 497-nucleotide ribosomal RNA is filed under the name uncultured bacterium. RNAcentral describes it as "partial 16S ribosomal RNA". It matches the Rfam family "Bacterial small subunit ribosomal RNA", at positions 28 to 507 of the family's 1533-position model. The record is from RNAcentral.
GAUGAACGCUGGCGGCGUGCCUAAUACAUGCAAGUCGAACGAACGGACGAGAAGCUUGCUUCUCUGAUGUUAGCGGCGGACGGGUGAGUAACACGUGGAUAACCUACCUAUUAGACUGGGAUAACUUCGGGAAACCGGAGCUAAUACCGGAUAAUAUUUUGAACCGCAUGAUUCAAGAGUGAAAGACGCUCUUGCUGUAACUUAUAGAUGAAUCCGGUCUGCAUUAGCUAGUUGGUAAGGUAACGGCCUACCAAGGCAACGAUGCAUAGCCGACCUGAGAGGGUGAUCGGCCACACUGGAACUGAGAAACGGUCCAGACUCCUACGGGAGGCAGCAGUAGGGAAUCUUCCGCAAUGGGCGAAAGCCUGACGGAGCAACGCCGCGUGAGUGAUGAAGGUCUUCGGAUCGUAAACCUCUGUUAUUAGGGAAGAACAUAUGUGUAAGUAACUGUGCACAUCUUGACGGUACCUAAUCAGAAAGCCACGGCUAACUACGUG